RNAcentral lists this ribosomal RNA (477 nucleotides) under uncultured bacterium. Its description in RNAcentral is "partial 16S ribosomal RNA". It matches the Rfam family "Bacterial small subunit ribosomal RNA", at positions 28 to 506 of the family's 1533-position model. The record is from RNAcentral.
GAUGAACGCUCGCGGCAGGCUUAACACAUGCAAGUCGAGGGGUAUUUCUCUUCGGAUAGAGAGACCGGCGCACGGGUGCGUAACGCGUAUGCAAUCUACCUUUUACAGAGGGAUAGCCCAGAGAAAUUUGGAUUAAUACCUCAUAGUAUAUAGACUCGGCAUCGAGAUUAUAUUAAAGUCACAACGGUCAAAGAUGAGCAUGCGUCCCAUUAGCUAGUUGGUAAGGUAACGGCUUACCAAGGCUACGAUGGGUAGGGGUCCUGAGAGGGAGAUCCCCCACACUGGUACUGAGACACGGACCAGACUCCUACGGGAGGCAGCAGUGAGGAAUAUUGGACAAUGGGCGCAAGCCUGAUCCAGCCAUGCCGCGUGCAGGAUGACGGUCCUAUGGAUUGUAAACUGCUUUUAUACGAGAAGAAACACUGCUACGUGUAGCAGCUGGACGGUAUCGUAAGAAUAAGGAUCGGCGAACUCCGU